RNAcentral lists this ribosomal RNA (496 nucleotides) under uncultured bacterium. RNAcentral describes it as "partial 16S ribosomal RNA". It matches the Rfam family "Bacterial small subunit ribosomal RNA", at positions 28 to 506 of the family's 1533-position model. The record is from RNAcentral.
GAUGAACGCUGGCGGCGUGCCUAAUACAUGCAAGUCGAGCGAACAGACGAGGAGCUUGCUCCUCUGACGUUAGCGGCGGACGGGUGAGUAACACGUGGAUAACCUACCUAUAAGACUGGGAUAACUUCGGGAAACCGGAGCUAAUACCGGAUAAUAUAUUGAACCGCAUGGUUCAAUAGUGAAAGACGGUUUUGCUGUCACUUAUAGAUGGAUCCGCGCCGCAUUAGCUAGUUGGUAAGGUAACGGCCUACCAAGGCAACGAUGCGUAGCCGACCUGAGAGGGUGAUCGGCCACACUGGAACUGAGACACGGUCCAGACUCCUACGGGAGGCAGCAGUAGGGAAUCUUCCGCAAUGGGCGAAAGCCUGACGGAGCAACGCCGCGUGAGUGAUGAAGGUCUUCGGAUCGUAAAACUCUGUUAUUAGGGAAGAACAAAUGUGUAAGUAACGAUGCACGUCUUGACGGUACCUAAUCAGAAAGCCACGGCUAACUACGU